AAACUUUCAACAACGGAUCUCUUGGUUCUCGCAACGAUGAAGAACGCAGCGAAAUGCGAUACGUAAUGUGAAUUGCAGGUUUUCGUGAAUCAUCAAAUCUUUGAACGCAUAUUGCGCCCUCUGGUAUUCCGGAGGGCAUGCCUGUUUGAGCGUCAUU
This 157-nucleotide ribosomal RNA is filed under the name uncultured fungus. RNAcentral describes it as "5.8S ribosomal RNA". It matches the Rfam family "5.8S ribosomal RNA". Rfam says of the family: 5.8S ribosomal RNA (5.8S rRNA) is a component of the large subunit of the eukaryotic ribosome. It is transcribed by RNA polymerase I as part of the 45S precursor that also contains 18S and 28S rRNA. Functionally, it is thought that 5.8S rRNA may be involved in ribosome translocation. The record is from RNAcentral. Lineage: Eukaryota; Fungi.